This 707-nucleotide ribosomal RNA is filed under the name uncultured Bradyrhizobiaceae bacterium. RNAcentral describes it as "bacterial SSU rRNA". It matches the Rfam family "Bacterial small subunit ribosomal RNA", at positions 26 to 776 of the family's 1533-position model. The record is from RNAcentral. Lineage: Bacteria; Pseudomonadati; Pseudomonadota; Alphaproteobacteria; Hyphomicrobiales; Nitrobacteraceae.
GAGCGAACNNCUGNNGGCAGGCUUUAACACAUGCAAGUCGAGCGGGNGUAGCAAUACGUCAGCGGCAGACGGGUGAGUAACGCGUGGGAACGUACCUUUUGGUUCGGAACAACUGAGGGAAACUUCAGCUAAUACCGGAUAAGCCCUUACGGGGAAAGAUUUAUCGCCGAAAGAUCGGCCCGCGUCUGAUUAGCUAGUUGGUGAGGUAACGGCUCACCAAGGCGACGAUCAGUAGCUGGUCUGAGAGGAUGAUCAGCCACAUUGGGACUGAGACACGGCCCAAACUCCUACGGGAGGCAGCAGUGGGGAAUAUUGGACAAUGGGCGCAAGCCUGAUCCAGCCAUGCCGCGUGAGUGAUGAAGGCCCUAGGGUUGUAAAGCUCUUUUGUGCGGGAAGAUAAUGACGGUACCGCAAGAAUAAGCCCCGGCUAACUUCGUGCCAGCAGCCGCGGUAAUACGAAGGGGGCUAGCGUUGCUCGGAAUCACUGGGCGUAAAGGGUGCGUAGGCGGGUCUUUAAGUCAGGGGUGAAAUCCUGGAGCUCAACUCCAGAACUGCCUUUGAUACUGAGGAUCUUGAGUUCGGGAGAGGUGAGUGGAACUGCGAGUGUAGAGGUGAAAUUCGUAGAUAUUCGCAAGAACACCAGUGGCGAAGGCGGCUCACUGGCCCGAUACUGACGCUGAGGCACGAAAGCGUGGGGAGCAAACAGG